Doryrhamphus excisus (bluestripe pipefish) is the source of this 3723-nucleotide non-coding RNA. Lineage: Eukaryota; Metazoa; Chordata; Actinopteri; Syngnathiformes; Syngnathidae. The record is from RefSeq and is a predicted model, not a curated record.
GUGAACAUGUGACUUCCUGCCAUCCCUGCGCACGGAGCAGUCCACGAAACUUGGCAUGUCCUCCUGUCCUCCUCACGUCUGGCCAGAGGACAUCUAGAGAAGUUUGCUCCACAAUGCUGUGGUCAUUGGAGGCUGAGGUGGAACCUUGACAGCUUGCUAUCUCCAGCACGUCAGCAUACCUUGGACCUGUAACAUCCUGUUCACCUACUGCUAAGGUCGUCUCCUCAACCUUCUCGUCGUCACAAAGCCAUGUCCCAAACCCUUUGGAACCCUUUUGCCAACCAAACACCAUCAGAGAAAGACUCCCAAAGUGGGUCUUCUCUUCAUCAACCUGGAUCAGCAUACAGCUCUUUUGGGGAUCUGUCAGGCACUUCUGAGAUGUACCCGAGACCAGUACCUCAUUGCUGGCCAGAACCUAGCACGGUCCCUAGCAGUGAGGCCAGCCUGAGGUCUAUGGACCUGCACGUGAGACAAGUUAAAGGAGAGGUGAAGGAUCACAGCAAACCUUUGCAUCAGCUUUCACAUCAAAGCAUUCAAGGGACUGAGUUCCUCCCAUUGGGUGAACGGACCACCUCUUCAAGAUCGCUUGACCCCACCACAGCUUAUGGAGGUGACUCAUUCUUCAGUUACUUGCCUGGAGCUAAAAGAGAUUAUCAGUCCAUUCCGGGAUUGGGCGAUGGUGACGAUUGUAUGUCAGAUGAACCUGCAGCUCCACCUGAGUCCAGCCCACCCAAAUACAGCCCUGAGUUGGCCACCGACAUCCUUCAACGCUUUGGACUUGAAAAGGAAGACAUGGAAAUUCUGCUGUUGUACCCUGAAGACCAGAUCACGCCUGCUCGUUUACCGUUCAUCCUCCGCCAAAUACGCAUUCAGAAAGCCACAAAGGCUGCUGCCACGGCUACAGCCAUCACAGCUACUGCCGCCACGGCUACAGCCAUCACAGCUACUGCCGCCACGGCUACAGCCGUCACAGCUACUGCCGCCACGGCUACAGCCGUCACAGCUACUGCCGCCACGGCUACAGCCGUCACAGCUACUGCCGCCACGGCUACAGCCACCAGGGCUACUGCCGUCACAGCUACAGCCACCACAGCUACAGCCAUCACAGCUACUGCCACCACGGCUACAGCCAUCACAGCUACUGCCGCCACGGCUACAGCCAUCACAGCUAGUGCCGCCACGGCUACAGCCAUCACAGCUACAGCCACCACAGCUACAGCCACCAGGGCUACUGCCGUCACAGCUACUGCCGCCACGGCUACAGCCAUCACAGCUACUGCCACCACGGCUCCAGCCACCAGGGCUACUGCCACCACAGCUACUGCCGUCACAGCUACUGCCGUCACAGCUAGUGCCGCCAUGCCUACAGCCGUCACAGCUACUGCCGCCACGGCUACAGCUGCCACAGUUACUGCCGCCACGGCUACAGCCGUCACAGCGACUGCCGCCAUGGCUACAUCUGCCACCCCAGCUGCCCCAACUGCCCCAACUGCUGUCAUGGCUGCAGUCGUCACGGCUACUGCCGCCACAGCUACAGCCGUCAAUGCAAGAGUCGCAACAGCUGCCAUGGCUACAGCCACCAUCGCCACAUCUGCCACCCCAGCUGCCCCAACAGCCACCACGGCUGCCACCACAGAUAAAUCCAAAGUAUUACCUCAACCAGUACCCUGGUUUUCUAACCCUGCUGGAAGUGACAAUCUGAAGCGUUUUGGAACAAAGGCUGAGAGCAACACUUUGGCUUCCCAGGCUGCUUCUUCUCGAGAAGACCAGAAGAGUUCCAGCUCUUCUCUCAGCUCCGUGGUCACCGUUGUGGCUCCCAAAAGUCCCGAUCCAGUCCACCCAGUGCAGAGCUGUUCCUUGACAGGCAAAGACACAGGUCUCCAACAAGCAGCAUCCAAAACAAUUCCUUUGAAACAACUGAAAGGUCAUUGCGGACCAAAAGCCAUCACUUCAAUCCAUCGUGUGCAUUCCAGUCGACCCAGCCUGUUGCUCAUUUGCUGUAACGACAACAAUGAUGCUAACGGACCCAGGAAGAGUCAAGACUCACAGGAACCGCAACAACCUCGAAUCUUUCAGUCGGAACAAGAACAGACAAAUGUGGAAAAGCCUCACCGAAAGCCUGAAGAAAAUCAGCAAAUGCCAAAGAACCGACCACAUACACCAAACGAGGACCAAGAUACAUCAGACAAUCAACUAGAUUCAUUAGGUAAACGAGAUGCGUCAAAGAAACCGCAGGAUGGUUGUAGUCGACUGGUGCAACCCGUCUAUAGCAUCACCGCUAAGGUGUCAUGUCCAAGUCAGCCUCCGACUGCUGUGACCUCCAGUCGACCGUCCCCGAGUGGAGCACCCACCAGUAGAGCACCCACCAGUAGAGCACCCCUUUUGUUCACCCCGCCCACAGCCGCCAAGAUGUCUGACAGUGCUGUGGCCGUACCAAGAGUCAUUCCACACACGUCUUGUCUGUAUAACAAAGAUGGACUCAGUCACCAGAACACCAGCCAGCACCUCGACAGCUUCACAAACACCUGCAAGAACUCACCUCAGCAACAAGCUCAUCUCAGCAGCAAGCCAGCCUCAACUUCCCAGAAAGCCAGGAGACUUUCAUCGUCCCCUUGCACCUCCAAACGCGCUCACAGGUCUUAUUCCUCAUCCUCUGACCACCAUCGAUCACGAUCCCGAAGCUAUGAGAGAUCGUCGUCGCCCGCCAGUCGCAAGAAGAGGCGGAGUCGAGAGAGACGAAGGCGUUCUCCACACAGGAGCCGCAGGUCUCUGACUCGUUCGCCUGCAUCGUCCCGUGACAGCUGUCGUUCACGCUCCAGGAGCAAAAAUAAAAGGAGGAGCCCAGAGAGACCACGACGUCCUGCGAGUCGAUUUACUCGCAGGUCUCCUUCUCGUCCACGUGCAUCCUCCUCUGACAGCUCUCGUUCACGCUCCAGGAGCCGGGAAAGACGAUACUCAUCAGCAGGAAACCGUCGGAGAACAUCCCCGCGGAGAAGGAGCCCCAAAAAGCGCUCAUCGCCGGGAAUGAGCAGAGACAGACAUGCAUCUUCCAGGAGGUCCACCAAAAGUCGUUCCUCACCAAGAAGGAGUCAUGAUGCAAAAGCUUCAGAAAGGUCGAGCAGUGUAGAGCAUCUUGCCAAGAAGGUGUUGGAAAAAUCAGCGAUCCAAUCUCUGCCGAACCAGACGGAUCUGGAAACAGUGGUGAAAACUCUGGCUCCCGCUCUGCUGGCUGAACUGAUGAAGAUGAAGUCCUUCUCUUCGAUUGGUCCGUCCUCAUCCUCGUCUGCAGACAAGAAAAAGGAUGCGACCCAAGCGCCAAGUUCAUCUUCCACGAAGGAUGGGUGCAAGUCAUCGCCCCUGACAACGGUGACGCUGAAGGCGAAUAGUAACAACCUCUCCAGCGGUGACGUGAAGUCUGCUGCUGAGAACUUUGGCAAAACCAAGUCGGUUACGUUGCUUCCUGCCAAAGGCGAGGUACGGUACUUGCAUGAUGAAGGGGCUACACUGAGGUGGUCGACCAUCAUCCACGUUUAGUGACGUUAGUAUGGACACAUGCAGGCCAUUGUGUGUUUUGAGCGAGAGGAGGCCGCCAAGAAGAUGAUGGACAUGAAGAACUUGCAUGAGAGCAUCGGCAAGGAGCCAAACACAACCGUUCCUAAAAGCCAGGCAACGGUCUCCAAAGCCAAAGCAAAGAAAGUCCCAAAGACGGUGAAAGGAGCUCAG